This 412-nucleotide unclassified non-coding RNA is filed under the name soil metagenome. RNAcentral describes it as "partial contains 5.8S ribosomal RNA, internal transcribed spacer 2, and large subunit ribosomal RNA". The stretch from base 1 to 122 matches the Rfam family "5.8S ribosomal RNA", at positions 35 to 154 of the family's 154-position model. The record is from RNAcentral.
GAUGAAGAACGUAGCGAAAUGCGAUACUUGGUGUGAAUUGCAGAAUCCCGUGAACCAUCGAGUCUUUGAACGCAAGUUGCGCCCGAAGCCGUCAGGCCGAGGGCACGCCUGCCUGGGCGUCACACGCCGUUGCCCCCCCGCGCCCCGCACCCAACGCUUUGGGAGCGACCGCGGGGCGGGCUGAUGAUGGCCUCCCGUGCGCUCCGCCGCGCGGUUGGCCCAAAUACCGAGUCCCCGGCGGCGUGCGCCACGGCGAUCGGUGGUUGAGAGACCUCUGUCGCAAGUCGUGCGCGCCCGUCGCGUCACGCGGGCUCGCAUAGCGCCUCGCGCCGCACCCGGUGCGGAGCUUUCAACGCGACCCCAGGUCAGGCGGGGUUACCCGCUGAAUUUAAGCAUAUCAAUAAGCGGAGGA